AACGAACGCUGGCGGCAUGCCUAACACAUGCAAGUCGAACGAGACCUUCGGGUCUAGUGGCCCAUGGGUGCGUAACGCGUGGGAACCUUCCCUUAGGUUCGGAAUAACUCCCCGACAGGGGUGCUAAUACCGGAUAAUGUCUUCGGACCAAAGAUUUAUCGCCCUUGGAUGGGCCCGCGUUGGAUUAGCUAGUUGGUAGGGUAAAAGCCUACCAAGGCGACGAUCCUUAGAUGGGCUGAGAGGAUGAUCAGCCACACUGGGACGGAGACACGGCCCAGACUCCUACGGGAGGCAGCAGUGGGGAAUAUUGGAAAAUGGGGGAAAGCCUGAUCCAGCAAUGCCGCGUGAGUGAUGAAGGCCUUAGGGUUGUAAAGCUCUUUUACCCGGGAUGAUAAUGACGGUACCGGGAGAAUAAGCUCCGGCUAACUCCGUG
This 433-nucleotide ribosomal RNA is filed under the name uncultured bacterium. RNAcentral describes it as "partial 16S ribosomal RNA". It matches the Rfam family "Bacterial small subunit ribosomal RNA", at positions 29 to 507 of the family's 1533-position model. The record is from RNAcentral.